Long non-coding RNA from Triticum dicoccoides, 1991 nucleotides. RefSeq lists it as uncharacterized. The transcript has 5 exons. The record is from RefSeq and is a predicted model, not a curated record. NCBI's taxonomy places the organism in Eukaryota, Viridiplantae, Streptophyta, Magnoliopsida, Poales, Poaceae.
UCUGGUCGCGAGCACAGGUGCUCGCGGUAUCGGGCGGCGGACAUGUCAUCGGGAUGUGUAGCGUUAAAUUACCGAGGGAACCAGUCGAUCGUUUUUUAAUCGGAGGAACGGGAAAUACGGUAGAGGGAUACGGCGUACGCCGCGCCGGUGACGGAGCACGCAGAUCCCGCCGUGACGGGAGGUCAUCAGAGCCGUGGCUCGGGACCGUGUUCUUCUCCUGACCCGUAGCUCAGGACGUAGUUGGAUUUCCGGCUGGCGGCGGUGCGCAGGCUAGUAAAUGACAAGUGAGACUAAGGCGGAGCUGUCUCCCACCGCUUGCCACACAUUCGUUUGGAUCUCCAUUGACGCCUGGCGAAACCCUGAGCACCGGAGAUCGGCGGGGGGAGGAAUACACGGCGGCGCUAUCCGUAUGGAGUUCCUGAUGCAGCCCAUUAGGAGGUUUUGCUCGAUGCGGGACCGCGGUGAUGGUAGAUGUCAACGAGAAGGAGCUUCCAAUUGAGCCGCUGCACUACCCCGCGGUGGCGAUAGGGACUGCAGAGCUACCCCCCAUGGCGACAGCCAGCGCCGAUAGGCAGAUGUGUGUGGCGGAUGGGGAUGCUGAGCCGCAAGCAUCUGAGCAGGCUGGACUCGCAGGGUUAGGAUUGGAGCUGCUGCUCCAGGAAGGGCACCUUGCCCUGGGCGACCCAGCGCUCUUGAGAAGGCAAUACGGGGGUUCGCUGACAAACCGGGCGACAUUGUAAUCGUGCUUGCACUGCGUACAAGCUUUGACACACUCGGGGAGGCCUAUGAUUUUUCCAAUCUCUACUCGUGUGAGAAGGGAUUUGGAAUAAGAUGCAGGGAGAGUAUACUGAAUGCGGGGAGGACAAAAUGCAUCCAGGAAAUUGUUUGCGGCUGUGCAGGUAAAGCUGUGGUGGAGAACAGUAGAUUGUGCCGUGACUGCCCUGCAUUAAUAAGGUGUCACAACAUUAAUUAAGCAACUUUGGUUUGGCUACAAAUGAUGUGCUGAAUUAGCAUUGCUAAGAGAAUGCACUCUAUUAUUUUGGUAUGACUAACUAUAGGAACGAGGUUUCACUAGCAUGAAUAAUUUUUCCUGGUUGCACUACGUGAUUGAAUCCUUACCGGUAGUAGUUGGUUGUACCAUGUAAUUGGAUCUUUAUCAGUAGUAGUAGCAGAACUAAGUCAUGGAGCUCUGUAUUUUGCUACUGGAGAUCUGUUUAUCUGGUUGCUAACUGGUAAUAAUAUCUAAGAUUUUUAUUCUUAUAUACUAUACUUCAUUCACUUCACGAUGUCAAUACGUGCCUGCUACUGGUAGCUUCCGGUUAGUUGUGUUCUUGUGUAUUCUAAGAAUAUAUGAUAUUUACUUCUCUUUUUUGUCUAGUUAAUUUUUGAAAUAAUAUACAGAAACAUGUACUAUUAGGUUAUGAAAGUUAUUUAAAUAUUUGCUCAAAGUAUUUAUUAUACAUUUUCUCAAUUGUUAAUCUCUCUGCACAAGCUAUGUGCAUCAACAGGCUUACUAGUUUGUUGGCACCAAAAAAACGGAAGGAGAUGGGGCAGCCAACAACUAGCUGAGAGAAGGCGCCAACGAGGGGCUCAACAAAUGGACAAGGUUCUGCACGAUAUGUCGCCAGCAGGGACAUAAGAGGACAACCUGCCCGGACCGGGGCCAUAUCCCGAAGCCUGUUCGUAAACCGGCCAGGUGCACAAACUGUGGCACUGAAGGUCACGGGCGAAACAACUGCAAAAGAGUAGGCGAUUUGCGGAUAAACAUGUGAGGACCGACCACAAUGUCCCUGACUAAGCUGUCUGUUUGAUCGUUUCUUUACUGUAGACCAUUGUGUUGUGUAGCUAAGUGUGUGCGGCGAGAAUGUGUUGGAUUUCCUAUAAAAUCUGUCUUGUUUGCAUGCUUGCUGAAUGUAAUGCAGUGCUGAUGGACGUGUUGAUGACUCGUUUCUGAAUAAAAUGAAACUCCUCUGCGUGUAUGUUCAAACUGA